CGAAGAGGUGAUCAGGAGAGUGGGGUGGGUCGUUGCGAACCGAUGCGGACGAAUACGGCGUAACGUGGGUUCGAAUCCCACCCUCUCAA
Molecule: transfer RNA, 89 nt
Filed under: Sphingomonas vulcanisoli
Lineage: Bacteria; Pseudomonadati; Pseudomonadota; Alphaproteobacteria; Sphingomonadales; Sphingomonadaceae
Description: tRNA-Arg
Source: RNAcentral